RNAcentral lists this ribosomal RNA (265 nucleotides) under uncultured Syntrophaceae bacterium. RNAcentral's name for it is "partial 16S ribosomal RNA". It matches the Rfam family "Bacterial small subunit ribosomal RNA", at positions 1116 to 1382 of the family's 1533-position model. The record is from RNAcentral. Lineage: Bacteria; Pseudomonadati; Thermodesulfobacteriota; Syntrophia; Syntrophales; Syntrophaceae.
GUCCAUCAUUCAGUUGGGCACUCUAGAGGGACUGCCGGUGUCAAACCGGAGGAAGGUGGGGAUGACGUCAAGUCCUCAUGGCCUUUAUGCCCAGGGCUACACACGUGCUACAAUGGGCGGUACAAAGAGCAGCGAGCUCGCGAGAGUAAGCAAAUCUCAAAAAGCCGUCCUCAGUUCGGAUUGGAGUCUGCAACUCGACUCCAUGAAGUUGGAAUCGCUAGUAAUCGCGGAUCAGCAUGCCGCGGUGAAUACGUUCCCGGGCCUU